This is a long non-coding RNA of Ictidomys tridecemlineatus (thirteen-lined ground squirrel), 2571 nucleotides long. RefSeq lists it as uncharacterized. NCBI's taxonomy places the organism in Eukaryota, Metazoa, Chordata, Mammalia, Rodentia, Sciuridae. The record is from RefSeq and is a predicted model, not a curated record.
UCAAACAGACACACGGCGCACAAAAGAAAACCUCAUCACCAAGGGAAACUAAUCCACCGGUGCGCAAUGUAAGCCUGUCAACUUUUUAUUAUAAGAAGUCAUCACUCAUUUCAGUGAAGAUUAAAAGUAUGACUAAAUUGAGAAAAUCCUCUUAGCCAUUUGGAAUUUUAAUAGAGGAGAAAAGGGGUACAGGAUUUGCAACCCUCUGUCUCUAUACCACCUUAUUUCUGUCUACCUGGAGGCCUGUGGAAUCAGUAUGGAGAGUGAAAGUCACUGCUGGGUAUCAAAAUAUUUUAUCAAUAGCUAUUUCAUCCAUAAGAAGCCUCUCCAGGAAAACAGAAACCAUCUCAAUUACUCCAACACAAGAAAUGUAAUGUAGUGAAUUGAUUAUACAGUUGGGAGAAGAGCUGAGAAACCAGUCAGGAAAAUGUUAAGACAACCUACAGUAGGAAACCCCUAUUCAGGUGAGAAAGGAGCGGUGGAGUUGCUGCCAAGAGGCCAGGUUCACCUGCGAAUACCUUGGCAAUGGGCCUAUCUAGCAGGAGUAGCAGAAGAAAUGCAAUUUACCCUGGAGAUGACACUUCAAACAGAGAGGAAGGAGAAAACUUUCCACUCAGUAACUGAGUACCAAGGAUGUCCACCAGCUGAAUUUAACUGGGAGUCAACUUAAUGUGGAAUGCUGGGAAAUGACACCUAUAGCUGUCCACCUUUGAAGAUACAGAGCCCAGGAAGGAGAGAAAGAGAACUAUCUUACUGGCAACAGGCUAGGAUCUUUACUAGCUGCCCCUUAUGCUGCUCAGUAUUGACUCUCACCUUUCUACCCAUGUUCACAUCUCAUAGAUUUCAAGCAACAGCAUCAAUGAGUCAACUAAAAAGUGAGUCAACUACCUUGUACAUAAAAACACGUCAUUGUCUUCUUAAACAUGUGCCCUGUUCCACCCUUUGACCCUCAAAUCUCAUUCUUGAUGAAUAGCAUAAAUCCCUCGGUAGCUCAUGGUUAAUGUUGAAAAAGAUUCACAGAGGCCAGAGUCUGCUUUUAAAAGGAGGACAUUUAUAAACGAAAAGAGUUAUGAUUGUAUUCCAGAAUCUCAGAAUGUACAGUGUGAUUUUGCUUUUGAGGCUUUUCAGAGUCUUUAUAUAGCUGAUUUUUUUUAUUACCAACACUUUGAGCAUUUUUGGUAUCUGUUAGAUCUAAAGCCUUAUGUGGCAGAGCAAGUUAUAGUAUAGACCUGUUGGAGAAUCUUCUCCUACUCUGGGCUAAAUUUAAAAGUAGAAAAAUUAGAAAACUUCUAGCUUAUACAGUAAAUGGGUUGGGGAAACACCAACAUGUGUCAUGUGUUUUCUAGAACCAAAUCCAGUGCAGCUUGGAUGCAAGUUAAAAAACCAAGUCGUGGCUAUAGCCAUGAAUUGGGAGGAAAAGGAAGCUAAGAGAAUACAGGAGGCCAAAGAGUGGGUGUGGCUAGCCUAGAUGAGAACUCAAGGUCACUAGAGCUGGUUCAUUCUGCAUUGUUAACAUAAUAAAGUCCAAACUACUUUUACUUUUUCUCCUCCUUCUCCUCUUCCUCCACUUCUCCCUCCUCCUCCUCCUCCUCCUCUUCUUCCUCCUCCUCUUUUUUCUCUUCCUCCUUUUGGCACAGAUUGGACUCAGGAUCAAUUAACCACCAAACCAUUUCCCUAGCCCUUUAAGUUUUUUUUUUUUUUGUCUGAGACAAAGUCUUGCUGAGUUGCUUAGUAACCUUAGUUGGCCUUGGUAACUUGCUAAGGCUGGCCUAUAACUUGCAAUCCUCCUGCCUCCAGCUUCCGAACCAGUGGGAUUAUAGGCAUGUGCCACAACCCAAGCUUCUUACUGUCACUUACUAUGCCUUCUACCAACUUGUUCAUUUUAGUCCUCUACCUUCAUUUCUCAGUAUUUUUCUUUCAAACUUUGUUCUUCAGUCAUACUGAACCACCUAAAAAUUUCUUCCGUAUGUCAAUUCAUUCUCUCUUUCACGCUGGCCUUCCAGGCUGACUUUGAACCAUAAUCUAUGUCUUUUUUUUUUCUCUAUUUUUUAACUGCCCUUUUUUACUGUCUAAAAAACAUCCACUUAAACCACAGUGCUGGCCAAUAGAUAGAUCUCAUGGCCAAUGAAAAUUCUGAUAAAUUGGCCAAGUGUUUCUGCACAGCUAAAGUUAAAGAGUUUACAGUUAAGUCUAGGAUUGAUUGAAUUAGUAGCAUCCAUCAGGUUGGAAGAAGGGUGGCAAGUAUAAUGUGCAUUUUCCAUCCAUUCUUGCCGACAUUAUACCUUGUCAUAGCCUUCCUUGAUGCUGUGCUGAAUGGGCAAGUGCUUUUCCUAUAUUCUUUUGCACUUCCUUUUCAUAGUCUAUCAUUCCACUUGAGUUGAAUUAUAUUUUCCUGUUUUGUUGUUCUUGUUUUUUGCCUAUUUUCUCAUCAAUGUUUUUUUCUUAAUAUUAAGACACAAUAUUUGUCACAGUGCCUGAUAGUACUCUGCACAUAGGAGGCAGUCUAUGAAUGCUUAUUAACUUAAUAAUAUUACUAAAUUUGAAAUAAUGAGAUUUGGGAUUUGGUUAUUG